GGACCCGUAGCUCAAUUAGCGGAGCAACCCGUUGUCUGCGGGAAGGCCGAGGGUGCAACUCCCUUCGGGUCCGCCA
RNAcentral lists this transfer RNA (76 nucleotides) under Verrucomicrobiota bacterium. RNAcentral describes it as "Verrucomicrobia bacterium tRNA-Asp". It matches the Rfam family "tRNA". From Rfam's summary of the family: Transfer RNA (tRNA) molecules are approximately 80 nucleotides in length. Their secondary structure includes four short double-helical elements and three loops (D, anti-codon, and T loops). Lineage: Bacteria; Pseudomonadati; Verrucomicrobiota. The record is from RNAcentral. RNAcentral also lists the same sequence under 1 other name.